UGGGGAAUCUUGGACAAUGGGGGCAACCCUGAUCCAGCGAUGCCGCGUGAGUGAAGAAGGCCUUCGGGUCGUAAAGCUCUUUAGGUUGGGAAGAAGGUUGUGGGAGGAAAUGCCUGCAGCUUGACGGUACCAGCAGAAUAAGCACCGGCAAACUCUGUGCCAGCAGCCGCGGUAAUACAGAGGGUGCGAGCGUUAAUCGGAGUUACUGGGCGUAAAGGGCGCGUAGGUGGUUUUGUGUGAAUGAUGUGAAAGCCCCGGGCUUAACCUGGGAAGUGCAUCGUUAACUGCAAGACUUGAGUAGGUGAGAGGGUAGCGGAAUUUCCGGUGUAGCGGUGAAAUGCGUAGAGAUCGGAAGGAACGUCAAUGGCGAAGGCAGCUACCUGGCACCAUACUGACACUGAGGCGCGAAAGCGUGGGGAGCGAACA
RNAcentral lists this ribosomal RNA (426 nucleotides) under uncultured Aquicella sp. RNAcentral describes it as "bacterial SSU rRNA". It matches the Rfam family "Bacterial small subunit ribosomal RNA", at positions 355 to 774 of the family's 1533-position model. Lineage: Bacteria; Pseudomonadati; Pseudomonadota; Gammaproteobacteria; Legionellales; Coxiellaceae. The record is from RNAcentral.